This 3195-nucleotide ribosomal RNA is filed under the name Triticum aestivum (bread wheat). RNAcentral describes it as "partial small subunit ribosomal RNA". The record is from RNAcentral. Lineage: Eukaryota; Viridiplantae; Streptophyta; Magnoliopsida; Poales; Poaceae.
AUGGCCGCCGCCUGCGGCUGGGCUCCUACCUCGGCGACGUCUCCGCGCUCUCCUCCCCGCGUCCCCUCCUCCUCGCCGGUAACUUCCCCUCCCUCCCCCCCAUCCCCUCUCCCGCUCCACUACAUCACCUCACCUAUUACGCCGCGCGCUCCCGCAGGGACCGGCUCGGAGCUGCUCGUCUACGACCUGGACGCCGCCAGGCUCCUCGCCUCCUUCCGGGUCUUGGACGGCGUGCGCGUCCACGGCAUCCGUGCCCCCAGCGGCUCGCCCCCCGCCGACGGGCGCACCGUCGCCGUCUUCGGCGAGAGGAGGGUGAAGCUCCUCAGGCUCCGCGUCGACGCGGAGGAUGGCGGCGUACGGCUGGAGCUGGAGCAGAGGCUCCCCGGGUUCGAUCACUGGGUGCUCGACGCUUGCUUCCUCGAGGUGGACGGGCUGCUCGCGGUCGGUUUGGGCGACAAUUCAGUGGCGUUGUGGGAUUUGACGGACCGCGUGUUUGUUACCAGAGUGAAUUCUCCAGAGAAGUGCCUUCUGUAUUCAAUGAGAAUGUGGGGGGACUCUGUUAGAUCCCUCCUCGUGGUGUCUGGUACCAUUCUGAACGAGAUUCUUAUUUGGAAAUUGGUACCCGAAACCCGGAGUUCUUCCUUGUUAAGCUCGGACGAGUUGGGUGCUACUAGUGUAGAGAACCACAGGAUCUUACCAAUGAAACAGCCAAAAUUGUUAUGGCAGUGCUCGCAUGUGGAUGUUAAGUUUGCUCGCAUGUGGAUGUUAAGUUGUCAGCCACAGGAUCUUACCAAUGAAACAGCCAAAAUUGAUGAUGUGGACAUUAUACCCAAACUGACACUUUUCGGACACAGUGCUAGAAUUUGGGAUUGUUGCAUAUCUGAUUCUAUAGUUAUAACUGCUGGCGAGGAUUGUACUUGCUGCAUUUGGGGCAUGGAUGGAAAGCUAAUCAAAACAUUCAAAGAACACAUUGGCCGAGGAUUAUGGCGAUGUUUAUAUGAUCCAAGCUCACUAGUUCUGAUCACCGCGGGGUUUGAUUCUGCAAUCAAAGUGCACCACCUAUGUAACUCCUCUUUUCAUGACAUAUUGGAAGAAAACGUGGCCCCAGAUGGUCUGAAAUACGAUUCUGAGGUGUUUGAAAUAUCUUCUCCUAUAGUAUCAGGACAGCAUGGUGCCUUGGAUAGCAAAAGCGAAUAUGUCCGAUGCUUACAUUUUGUGCAAGAAAAUGUUCUCUAUGUUGCCACAAACAAUGGAUAUCUGCAUCAUGCUGAGCUCUCUGAUACAAAAGAUCCAAGAUGGACUGAGGUUAUUCAGGUCACUGAGAAAGCACCAAUUAUAUGUAUGGAUGUAAUGACAGGGUGCUCAGACAUUUCUUUGGAUAAGGAGGAUAUAAUUGCCCUUGGAGACGGUCGUGGAAAUGUUACUAUUGUCCGUUUAAGCAGUCCCAGUCUUCUUGAACCUAAAAUGGAUUUAUCUUUCACCUGGCAAGCUGAAAAGGACAGGCAACUACUAGGACUGUACUGGUGCAAGUCACUUGAAUGUAGCCACAUUUUCACAGCUGAUCCUAGAGGCACUCUUAAGUUAUGGAACAUAAGAAAUGCCCUUUUCUCAAAUGGCCAUCCGAUUACUCAGGAGGUUUCACUUGUUGCAAUGUUUGAAUCUCCCUUUGGGGCUCGAAUCAUGUGUUUAGAUGUAUCACUUCAAGAUGAGAUCCUUAUAACAGGUGAUAAGAAGGGUAACAUCGCUGCCUUUCCUUUUCAUAAAACAUUGGCAGCACAUGACAGCAGUGAGGCACAACAGAAGAUACCUUUACGUGACCGUUUUAAAGGAGCUCAUGGCAUUUCUGGUGUCACAAGUGUUCAGAUAAUCACCUCAGCUUCAGAUCAUAUUGAAAUCCACACUCUGGUUCAAAUAUCCUGCGGAGGAUGGCGGCGCCCUUAUUCUUACUAUCUUGGGACAGUCCCUGAGUAUCAAAACUGUUUCGCCUUCGUAAAGUUCCAUGGAAGGGAAGUGCAUUCUCUUUGCUUCAUAGAUCCAGCAAGCUAUUCAAUUCCUCAGAAGAGUACGGAUUUGUGGAUUGCAACCGGGUGUGAAGAUGGAACCGUCCGGCUUACAGGGUACUCGGCUAGUAGUGCCGGAAGAUGGUGCUCAUCCAAGCUGCUUGGGGAGCAUGUUGGCGGGUCAGCUGUGAGAGAUACGUGUUUCAUCCCAAAAACAUACACAUUAGCAGAUAAAUCGCGCAACUCUAGUGUCAGUUCUGCCGACACUUGGGUCGAAAACAAGGACACCACUUACAUAUUGAUAUCUGUUGGAUCAAAGCAAGUUCUUACGGCUUGGAUUCUAGAACCUAGAAUUGCAGAGAACAACAAACAAGUGUGUUCGAGUGAUCGAGAUUUAGACACCAAGCAAAGCUCAGAAUGCUCAGACAAUAGUGGUUCAGCCGUUACAUUUCAGUGGCUUUCUACCCACAUGCCACCAAAGCUUGGCACCAAUAGGUUGAAAGCUGAUCAUGUAAAGCUGAACUUCGAGGAAGGCGGGAAAGGAAAUUCCUCUGCUCAACCCAAUCUGGCUAUUAUGGAUCAGAUGGAAAAUGACUGGCGUUACCUUUCUGUUACAGCAUUUCUUUUGAAACAUCCGGCUACCGAAUUGACAGUUUGUUUUGUGGUUGUUGCUUGCUCUGAUGCAACAGUUAUUGUCCGUGCGCUUCUUUUGCCUUCUCGACUAUGGUUUGAUGUUGCCUUGCUGGUCCCACAGGCAUCACCAGUUCUUGUGCUACGGCAUAUUGUCGUCGCCUCUAGUGCCCACUGUGAAGGUGAUGCUUAUAAUGGGGAUAGAUACAUUAUCGUGAGUGGAUCUACAGAUGGUAGCAUCACAUUGUGGGACCUAACAGACACCAUUCAUGGCUUUAUGGAACUAGUAUCAGAGACUAAGCCGCACAUGGUUAACGACUGCCAAAAGCGGCCCAAGACAGGAAGAGGGAGUCAGGGUGGUCGCCGUCGGUGGCGACCACUGGCAAACAGUUCUGUGAAAAAGGGUAAUGAACAGGCAUUGCUCCCCAGUGAGAACAAUCUGAAUACCUGCGGUGCUGCUGUGGGAAAUUCACGCGGAACUCCCAGAGCGGAAGAAAAUGUGGAAUUCCUGCUGGCGGGAGGGUGCGCCGUCUGUUUUUUGGGGAUGAUUUGUAACUCCAUUUGA